Molecule: long non-coding RNA, 295 nt
Filed under: Populus tremula
Lineage: Eukaryota; Viridiplantae; Streptophyta; Magnoliopsida; Malpighiales; Salicaceae
Description: long non-coding RNA (PTRE_LNC003222)
Source: RNAcentral
UGGGCAGGUAACCCAUUACAAUGUGACCAUCUGGGCCGGUAACCCAUUACAAUAUACCAAUUGGGCAGGUAACCCAUUACAAUGUGACCACCUGGGUCGGUAACCCAUUACAAUAUACCAUCCUAUACUGGGCAGGUAACCCAUUACAAUGUGACCAUCUGGGCCGGUAACCCAUUACAAUAUACCAUCACAAAAAAAAAAAUGAAAAGAAAAAAAAAAGAAAAAAAUUGGCUGUCUUCCAAAUGACUUGUUUUCUCUAUAAAAGUCAUAUGUCAAUCUCUGGUUUUCGAAGUUU